UUUCCGUAGGUGAACCUGCGGAAGGAUCAUUAAUGAGUUGUCAUGGGGUUCGAUGCUGGCAGCCAGUUUUUGGAUGCAUGUGCAUGCCCUAACAAUCAUCUUCUUCCAAACACCUGUGCACAUUUUUGAGGGAGUCUUGAGUUGGUUGCCGCUCUUGGGUGAUUUUCUCACAUUCCCUUAAAUCAAUAUACGCUAUUAACAAUGUUGAACGUGCUCUGUGCCGCAAGGCCAUUAAUAUAAUACAACUUUUAACAACGGAUCUCUUGGCUCUC
RNAcentral lists this unclassified non-coding RNA (272 nucleotides) under plant metagenome. RNAcentral describes it as "partial contains small subunit ribosomal RNA, internal transcribed spacer 1, and 5.8S ribosomal RNA". The record is from RNAcentral.